This 433-nucleotide ribosomal RNA is filed under the name uncultured bacterium. Its description in RNAcentral is "partial 16S ribosomal RNA". It matches the Rfam family "Bacterial small subunit ribosomal RNA", at positions 29 to 507 of the family's 1533-position model. The record is from RNAcentral.
AACGAACGCUGGCGGCAUGCCUAACACAUGCAAGUCGAACGAGACCUUCGGGUCUAGUGGCGCACGGGUGCGUAACGCGUGGGAACCUGCCCUUAGGUUCGGAAUAACUCCCCGAAAGGGGUGCUAAUACCGGAUAAUGUCUUCGGACCAAAGAUUUAUCGCCUUUGGAUGGGCCCGCGUUGGAUUAGCUAGUUGGUAGGGUAAAAGCCUACCAAGGCGACGAUCCAUAGCUGGUCUGAGAGGAUGAUCAGCCACACUGGGACUGAGACACGGCCCAGAAUCCUACGGGAGGCAGCAGUGGGGAAUAGUGGAACAUGGGCGAAAGCCUGAUCCAGCAAUGCCGCGUGAGUGAUGAAGGCCUUAGGGUUGUAAAGCUCUUUUAACCGGGAUGAUAAUGACAGUACCGGGAGAAUAAGCCCCGGCUAACUACGUG